RNAcentral lists this long non-coding RNA (823 nucleotides) under Rattus norvegicus (Norway rat). Its description in RNAcentral is "long non-coding RNA NONRATT004445". Lineage: Eukaryota; Metazoa; Chordata; Mammalia; Rodentia; Muridae. The record is from RNAcentral.
CCUGGCAUCCGGGCCCGCACCCUACUUCCCAGCAGGGUGUCACGCUCCCCUGAAGACUGGAUAACUGUCAUGGAGGAUUCACAGUCGGAUAUGAGCAUCGAGCUCCCUCUGAGUCAGGAGACAUUUUCAUGCUUAUGGAAACUGUGAGUGGAUCUUACAGGGCCCCUGAGGUGCUAUCCCCCAGCUGAGGCCUGUGAGAAACAAAACUAAUAGUGUUAAAGCACGGUGUGCUAUUGGGUGCCUCUGAUCCCUGCACUUGGGAGGUGGAGGGAAGGGUAUCACACAGAAGUCUAAGAUCAUCCUUGACUAUAUAGCAAGUUUGUGGCUAGCCUGGGGUAAGUGAGAUUCUGUCUCCAAAGAACGGAAGGAAAUCAGCGGAACUAAUUCUCUGCUCUUGUUCUCCAGUCUUCCUCCAGAUGAUAUUCUGGUAAGGAGCCGGGCAAGAGGGGACUUAGGCCUUGGUGAGCUGGUGGGUUGGUAGCCCGAGAGCACAAUACUGAGGUUCUUCUUUGGCCCAUCCACAGCCCACCACAGCGACAGGGUCACCUAAUUCCAUGGAAGAUCUGUUCCUGCCCCAGGAUGUUGCAGAGUUGUUAGAAGGCCCAGAGGAAGCCCUCCAAGUGUCAGCUCCUGCAGCACAGGAACCUGGAACUGAGGCCCCUGCACCCGUGGCCCCUGCUUCAGCUACACCGUGGCCUCUGUCAUCUUCCGUCCCUUCUCAAAAAACUUACCAAGGCAACUAUGGCUUCCACCUGGGCUUCCUGCAGUCAGGGACAGCCAAGUCUGUUAUGUGCACGUACUCAAUUUCCCUCAAUAAGCUGUU